GACGAACGCUGGCGGCGUGCCUAAUACAUGCAAGUAGAACGCUGAAGGAGGAGCUUGCUUCUCUGGAUGAGUUGCGAACGGGUGAGUAACGCGUAGGUAACCUGCCUGGUAGCGGGGGAUAACUAUUGGAAACGAUAGCUAAUACCGCAUAAGAGUAGAUGUCGCAUGACAUUUGCUUAAAAGGUGCAAUUGCAUCACUACCAGAUGGACCUGCGUUGUAUUAGCUAGUUGGUGAGGUAACGGCUCACCAAGGCAACGAUACAUAGCCGACCUGAGAGGGUGAUCGGCCACACUGGGACUGAGACACGGCCCAGACGCCUACGGGAGGCAGCAGUAGGGAAUCUUCGGCAAUGGACGGAAGUCUGACCGAGCAACGCCGCGUGAGUGAAGAAGGUUGUCGGAUCGUAAAGCUCUGUUGUAAGAGAAGAACGAGUGUGAGAGUGGAAAGUUCACACUGUGACGGUAUCUUACCAGAAAGGGACGGCUAACUACGUG
This 495-nucleotide ribosomal RNA is filed under the name uncultured bacterium. RNAcentral's name for it is "partial 16S ribosomal RNA". It matches the Rfam family "Bacterial small subunit ribosomal RNA", at positions 28 to 507 of the family's 1533-position model. The record is from RNAcentral.